Non-coding RNA from Struthio camelus australis, 2026 nucleotides. Lineage: Eukaryota; Metazoa; Chordata; Aves; Struthioniformes; Struthionidae. The record is from RefSeq and is a predicted model, not a curated record.
AGCAGCCAGGCGGCCUGCCGUGCGCCCGGCCCUGCAGCCCUAGCCUCCUUGGAGACACUGUUUGCCUUCCCAGCCUCCGCUUCCUGGCUGCUUGGGGCAAAGCAAUGUUCCCGCACCGCCGACUGCAGACACGACCUGCACCUCUCAGCUACCGUGACCUCUCUCCUAGGGUAGCGCAGUAUGUUCCUGCAGCAGCUCCACGGACUUCCUAAGAGUCCGAGUUUCACGCUUCAGCUCGGGAGGGGUGCACCUCAGGAAGCCACCCAGGCAUUCAGCUACUGCUGGUCCAGAAGCUCGCUUUGAAACUGGCACAAGAGAAAGGACAUGCCAAAGCCACUGGACCAGGUGCAGCCUAAAUUUGCCAGAGCAAGAUCUGCAGAGGAAACGAUUCCAACAUAGUGAUGGCUGGGGUGAGGGGGUGGGGGAAGGGUUGUAAUUCUUCGUCCUGGAUGUCCUAGUAAACCAGAAACUUGUGACACAGUAAAUUGCUUGCUCAGAAAGGGUUUGAAACAUUCCUUGCAAUUAAUAGUAUGGGACAAAGUCUUAAACAGGAAACAAAACUACAGUGUUCAAUGAACCCUUUUUUUGUACUGCCUAUCACACAUAUGAACCUGUUUCAUGAGCAAAAAGCAGGGCCCGUAGAUUCAGAUAGCCUUGUUGCAUUCUAGUAUCCUAUCAGGAGAAUCGAGUCUGUACCUACAGCAGGGAAAAAUGUAAAUUUACAGACUACAGAAUAUACCUUUCACUUUUCAAUAGCAGUAGAAAAAAAUCAAGCAUAAAUUCUUUUUAUACAUGGUCAAUAUUUUCUAAAAUUGUACGUGUUGGUUUCAGCACUUAAGCGGUUCCUGAAAGGGGUAUUUCACUGGUCGAUUUGGAGCUGUAGCACAAUCAAAAUACCAGUAAUAACUCUGAACAAGGUCAUGCUACAGAAGAGAACCCUCAAGCCUGUGACAGAAACAAGCUUUGGAUGCUUCAGAGUCUACAGUAAAAUCUCCCAACUGCAUCUGACUGUCUGAAUUCUGCUUGUUCCACUCAAGCAAUCCCAUUCAUAGAAAAGGGACAAAUCCAGCCCUUGACAUUUUGCCUACUGGGACACGCUCUCUUCUGGAACACCAGCUGGAGGUUCGGUUUUACUCUGAAGGCCUUAUCUAACUCUGAAGUCAGCAGAAACAGGAGGGGGCCGUGCACGUUUAAUAUAAAAGAUCAGUGCUGUGCAAUACAGCAGAAGUAUAUAACUGUUUGUCACUUAAUAACAAUACCUACGCCUCUGUAGCCUUAAAACACUCUCACAUUUUAUAAUCAUUUUGAAAUUAAGGCCUAGGCACACAUUAAAAAACAUUCAAAGUAAAUCAGAAAGUUCAGGAUCAGAUUCCAUUCCUAAUUACUGUAAUUAACGAACAAGUCCCCACAACUUAAGGACUGGUUUGCUCAGUCUUUUUUACACAGACCCCUUUUAUCUAAGUUAAGAACUUUUAAAUAAUCUCUUUCUGCACGAAAACAUAAAUUCCUGUUCAAAUUGUUUUAAUACGGUCUAAAAUGAGACUCCCAGACUCCGACAAAUAAGAGCAUUCUUAUUCUUUCUUUGUCCCUCCCUCAACGGCAACUAAAACGUUUACAAGCUGAUAAUCUCUCAGACAAAUGCCUAUUUCCACAUUCACAUUAACAGAGAUGGAUACCAAAUAUUUCAGAUCUAACAUCAAGAAAAAAUUUCUGUCUUGUUGCUUCACUUCAAUGUGUCCGGGAGUUAAUUCAGCUAAAAGAGGAAGGAUGUCUGUUGCAUAUUAUGGAUCCCUGAAGCAGCACUGCUGUCAACUCUUGAGGGUGCUAUUCUUCCAUCUCAAAGUAGAGGUUGCCUCUAGUAGCUAUAAGCUAGAGAAGGAUUAGAAAAGCUGCUCCAAACUUCUGAACAGCACUAAAAGUCAUUUAUACCAAGUUAGUUGUACUGGUUGCUGUUAGUAGGGAAGGAAACUGAAAAGAAAGUCAUAAUCAUGAAGGAAUGCAAAUAUAUUUGCUUUAUACAAGUGAA